RNAcentral lists this ribosomal RNA (2782 nucleotides) under Escherichia coli O104:H4 str. C227-11. Its description in RNAcentral is "bacterial LSU rRNA". It matches the Rfam family "Bacterial large subunit ribosomal RNA". Lineage: Bacteria; Pseudomonadati; Pseudomonadota; Gammaproteobacteria; Enterobacterales; Enterobacteriaceae. The record is from RNAcentral.
AGCGUACACGGUGGAUGCCCUGGCAGUCAGAGGCGAUGAAGGACGUGCUAAUCUGCGAUAAGCGUCGGUAAGGUGAUAUGAACCGUUAUAACCGGCGAUUUCCGAAUGGGGAAACCCAGUGUGAUUCGUCACACUAUCAUUAACUGAAUCCAUAGGUUAAUGAGGCGAACCGGGGGAACUGAAACAUCUAAGUACCCCGAGGAAAAGAAAUCAACCGAGAUUCCCCCAGUAGCGGCGAGCGAACGGGGAGCAGCCCAGAGCCUGAAUCAGUGUGUGUGUUAGUGGAAGCGUCUGGAAAGGCGCGCGAUACAGGGUGACAGCCCCGUACACAAAAAUGCACAUGCUGUGAGCUCGAUGAGUAGGGCGGGACACGUGGUAUCCUGUCUGAAUAUGGGGGACCAUCCUCCAAGGCUAAAUACUCCUGACUGACCGAUAGUGAACCAGUACCGUGAGGGAAAGGCGAAAAGAACCCCGGCGAGGGAGUGAAAAAGAACCUGAAACCGUGUACGUACAAGCAGUGGGAGCACGCUUAGGCGUGUGACUGCGUACCUUUUGUAUAAUGGGUCAGCGACUUAUAUUCUGUAGCAAGGUUAACCGAAUAGGGGAGCCGAAGGGAAACCGAGUCUUAACUGGGCGUUAAGUUGCAGGGUAUAGACCCGAAACCCGGUGAUCUAGCCAUGGGCAGGUUGAAGGUUGGGUAACACUAACUGGAGGACCGAACCGACUAAUGUUGAAAAAUUAGCGGAUGACUUGUGGCUGGGGGUGAAAGGCCAAUCAAACCGGGAGAUAGCUGGUUCUCCCCGAAAGCUAUUUAGGUAGCGCCUCGUGAAUUCAUCUCCGGGGGUAGAGCACUGUUUCGGCAAGGGGGUCAUCCCGACUUACCAACCCGAUGCAAACUGCGAAUACCGGAGAAUGUUAUCACGGGAGACACACGGCGGGUGCUAACGUCCGUCGUGAAGAGGGAAACAACCCAGACCGCCAGCUAAGGUCCCAAAGUCAUGGUUAAGUGGGAAACGAUGUGGGAAGGCCCAGACAGCCAGGAUGUUGGCUUAGAAGCAGCCAUCAUUUAAAGAAAGCGUAAUAGCUCACUGGUCGAGUCGGCCUGCGCGGAAGAUGUAACGGGCUAAACCAUGCACCGAAGCUGCGGCAGCGACGCUGAUGCGUUGUUGGGUAGGGGAGCGUUCUGUAAGCCUGUGAAGGUGUACUGUGAGGCAUGCUGGAGGUAUCAGAAGUGCGAAUGCUGACAUAAGUAACGAUAAAGCGGGUGAAAAGCCCGCUCGCCGGAAGACCAAGGGUUCCUGUCCAACGUUAAUCGGGGCAGGGUGAGUCGACCCCUAAGGCGAGGCCGAAAGGCGUAGUCGAUGGGAAACAGGUUAAUAUUCCUGUACUUGGUGUUACUGCGAAGGGGGACGGAGAAGGCUAUGUUGGCCGGGCGACGGUUGUCCCGGUUUAAGCGUGUAGGCUGGUUUUCCAGGCAAAUCCGGAAAAUCAAGGCUGAGGCGUGAUGACGAGGCACUACGGUGCUGAAGCAACAAAUGCCCUGCUUCCAGGAAAAGCCUCUAAGCAUCAGGUAACAUCAAAUCGUACCCCAAACCGACACAGGUGGUCAGGUAGAGAAUACCAAGGCGCUUGAGAGAACUCGGGUGAAGGAACUAGGCAAAAUGGUGCCGUAACUUCGGGAGAAGGCACGCUGAUAUGUAGGUGAAGUCCCUCGCGGAUGGAGCUGAAAUCAGUCGAAGAUACCAGCUGGCUGCAACUGUUUAUUAAAAACACAGCACUGUGCAAACACGAAAGUGGACGUAUACGGUGUGACGCCUGCCCGGUGCCGGAAGGUUAAUUGAUGGGGUUAGCGCAAGCGAAGCUCUUGAUCGAAGCCCCGGUAAACGGCGGCCGUAACUAUAACGGUCCUAAGGUAGCGAAAUUCCUUGUCGGGUAAGUUCCGACCUGCACGAAUGGCGUAAUGAUGGCCAGGCUGUCUCCACCCGAGACUCAGUGAAAUUGAACUCGCUGUGAAGAUGCAGUGUACCCGCGGCAAGACGGAAAGACCCCGUGAACCUUUACUAUAGCUUGACACUGAACAUUGAGCCUUGAUGUGUAGGAUAGGUGGGAGGCUUUGAAGUGUGGACGCCAGUCUGCAUGGAGCCGACCUUGAAAUACCACCCUUUAAUGUUUGAUGUUCUAACGUUGACCCGUAAUCCGGGUUGCGGACAGUGUCUGGUGGGUAGUUUGACUGGGGCGGUCUCCUCCUAAAGAGUAACGGAGGAGCACGAAGGUUGGCUAAUCCUGGUCGGACAUCAGGAGGUUAGUGCAAUGGCAUAAGCCAGCUUGACUGCGAGCGUGACGGCGCGAGCAGGUGCGAAAGCAGGUCAUAGUGAUCCGGUGGUUCUGAAUGGAAGGGCCAUCGCUCAACGGAUAAAAGGUACUCCGGGGAUAACAGGCUGAUACCGCCCAAGAGUUCAUAUCGACGGCGGUGUUUGGCACCUCGAUGUCGGCUCAUCACAUCCUGGGGCUGAAGUAGGUCCCAAGGGUAUGGCUGUUCGCCAUUUAAAGUGGUACGCGAGCUGGGUUUAGAACGUCGUGAGACAGUUCGGUCCCUAUCUGCCGUGGGCGCUGGAGAACUGAGGGGGGCUGCUCCUAGUACGAGAGGACCGGAGUGGACGCAUCACUGGUGUUCGGGUUGUCAUGCCAAUGGCACUGCCCGGUAGCUAAAUGCGGAAGAGAUAAGUGCUGAAAGCAUCUAAGCACGAAACUUGCCCGAGAUGAGUUCUCCCUGACUCCUUGA